This 460-nucleotide ribosomal RNA is filed under the name uncultured bacterium. RNAcentral's name for it is "partial 16S ribosomal RNA". It matches the Rfam family "Bacterial small subunit ribosomal RNA", at positions 338 to 795 of the family's 1533-position model. The record is from RNAcentral.
CCUACGGGCGGCAGCAGUGAGGAAUAUUGGUCAAUGGACGAGAGUCUGAACCAGCCAAGUAGCGUGAAGGAUGACUGCCCUAUGGGUUGUAAACUUCUUUUAUAUGGGAAUAAAACGUUCCACGUGUGGGAUUUUGUAUGUACCAUAUGAAUAAGGAUCGGCUAACUCCGUGCCAGCAGCCGCGGUAAUACGGAGGAUCCGAGCGUUAUCCGGAUUUAUUGGGUUUAAAGGGAGCGUAGGUGGAUUGUUAAGUCAGUUGUGAAAGUUUGCGGCUCAACCGUAAAAUUGUAGUUGAAACUGGCAGUCUUGAGUACAGUAGAGGUGGGCGGAAUUCGUGGUGUAGCGGUGAAAUGCUUAGAUAUCACGAAGAACUCCGAUUGCGAAGGCAGUUCACUGGACUGCAACUGACACUGAGGCUCGAAAGUGUGGGUAUCAAACAGGAUUAGAUACCCCAGUAGUC